This 209-nucleotide long non-coding RNA is filed under the name Elaeis guineensis (African oil palm). Its description in RNAcentral is "long non-coding RNA (EGUI_LNC067264)". Lineage: Eukaryota; Viridiplantae; Streptophyta; Magnoliopsida; Arecales; Arecaceae. The record is from RNAcentral.
GCCCACCUAUAAAAGGGACCCAAUUGUUGGAUGCCCAAUAAGAGAAGUGUAAUUUCAAGAAGAGAAAAAUAGUUUUCUCUAGCCCCUCCUCCUUCCCUUAGUUCUUCGCUCUGUAGAGUGUCCAAGAGAUUUAAAGAAAAAGAAGAAAUCAGCCAUCAAAGAUCUUCGCUAAAAGAAUAAUGUCCCAUAAGCCAAUCAUAUAUGGGAUG